UUCCAGACUCCUACGGGAGGCAGCAGUGAGGAAUAUUGGUCAAUGGUCGGGAGACUGAACCAGCCAAGCCGCGUGAGGGAUGAAGGUACAGAGUAUCGUAAACCUCUUUUGUCAGGGAACAAAGGCGGGGACGCGUCCCCGGAUGAGUGUACCUGAAGAAAAAGCAUCGGCUAACUCCGUGCCAGCAGCCGCGGUAAUACGUAGGUGGCAAGCGUUAUCCGGAAUGAUUGGGCGUAAAGGGUGCGCAGGCGGAUGUAUAAGUCUGAAGUAAAAGCCAUCGGCUCAACCGAUGUAAGCUUUGGAAACUGUAGAUCUAGAGUGCAGGAGAGGACAGUGGAAUUCCAUGUGUAGCGGUAAAAUGCGUAGAUAUAUGGAGGAACACCAGUGGCGAAGGCGGCUGUCUGGCCUGUAACUGACGCUGAGGCACGAAAGCGUGGGGAGCAAAUAGGAUUAGAUACCCCAGUAC
This 466-nucleotide ribosomal RNA is filed under the name uncultured bacterium. Its description in RNAcentral is "bacterial SSU rRNA". It matches the Rfam family "Bacterial small subunit ribosomal RNA", at positions 329 to 793 of the family's 1533-position model. The record is from RNAcentral.